UACGUAGGGGGCAAGCGUUGUCCGGAAUCAUUGGGCGUAAAGCGCGUGCAGGCGGCCUGUUAAGUCUGAUGUGAAAGCCCGGGGCUUAACCCCGGAAUGUCAUUGGAUACUGGCAGGCUAGAGUUCGGAAGAGGAGAGCGGAAUUCCUAGUGUAGCGGUGAAAUGCGCAGAUAUUAGGAGGAACACCUACGGCGAAGGCAGCUCUCUGGUACGUAACUGACGCUGAGACGCGAAAGUGUGGGUAGCGAACAGG
RNAcentral lists this unclassified non-coding RNA (253 nucleotides) under uncultured Actinomycetes bacterium. Its description in RNAcentral is "uncultured actinobacterium contains 16S-23S intergenic spacer region". It matches the Rfam family "Bacterial small subunit ribosomal RNA", at positions 524 to 776 of the family's 1533-position model. Lineage: Bacteria; Bacillati; Actinomycetota; Actinomycetes. The record is from RNAcentral.